GGGGGGGGGGGGGGGGGGGGGGGGGGGGACUUGAGGAUGACAGGGGGGCGUUGUAGUGGACUGGUUGGAUGAGGGUUUGAGGUGGGGGAGGAGCUGCUGGCGGUGGACCGGGUGGAUGUGGGUUUGAGGUGGGGAAUGAGGUGGUGGUAGGGGAGGUGGUGGUCCAACCCGGAUUGGGUGGAUGGAAGGGUGGUGGACGAUUUUGAUUUAACCUCUGUUUCCAGAUCGAUGAAAUGUAUUGAUUCUGCUCUAUAUGGACAUUAUUCUGUUUUACGUCUGCUAUUUAUUGAUCCUUCUCUUCAUUUAUUUUGACGCAUGAUUUGGUAAACAGGUUUAGUACAUACUGUAGCAUAAAAACAAUAUCAAAUAUGAUAUAUAUAAUACAACCAAGUGGAAAUGUAAUUUAUGCUUUGAAAAUAAAAACUCCAUUCAUCAAUCAAUUCCAGUAUUUAUACAUCGGCCUCUGAACCAGUCCGUCUCCAUGGUGACAGCUGUUCAUUCUACAAAUAACAAGCGCCCCGCUGCUUGGAGAACAGAAAGACCUUGACUCCGCGCAAUUGACUCACAGAUACAUCACACAAAAGGCCCCCUCAGACAUACACACCCAGUACUGCCCUAAAACAACCCCACCUAAACGUAAGGUACACCUAUAUGAUACCGUCUCCGAACUCCAACCACCAUGUUAGCUUAUGCUUGUUUACGUUCCCCAUUAGAUACCACAGAGAGCUGACCCUUUACCACACACACAGAGCUUCCUGUUGCCGUAGCGUGUCCUGGUGCUUCAUGGGACGUGACUCUGCGGGGGGCUCCAGUGACAGAUGGAUCGUGGGUGAGCGAGGGGGCAGAGUGGGAACUGAUGCCGAGUGAACCCUGGUCGCUCCAGGGUGCCAUGGUAGCUCUCUCUACUACCCUGGGGCUCGACCAACACAGUCUGUCCACACUGAUCUGGCUCAAUGGCCCUGAGUGUGUGACAGAAUCUUCUAAGCUAUUUAGAGCGGUUUAUUUUAGACUCGGUUUAUUUUAGACUUACUUCCCAAAAUGAACAAACACACAAGAACACAAGAAAACAAAAUAAUCAUAAAGGCCUCACAGAUAGGCAGAUAGACAAUUACAGCAAAGUCAUUAAUUUAGCCUGAAAAAUAACAGAU
This is a long non-coding RNA of Gadus morhua (Atlantic cod), 1148 nucleotides long. RefSeq lists it as uncharacterized. The transcript has 2 exons. The record is from RefSeq and is a predicted model, not a curated record. Lineage: Eukaryota; Metazoa; Chordata; Actinopteri; Gadiformes; Gadidae.